GUGUCAGCCGCCGCGGUAAUACGGGGGGGGCAAGCGUUGUUCGGAAUUACUGGGCGUAAAGGGCUCGUAGGCGGCUCGCUAAGUCGGACGUGAAAUCCCUCGGCUCAACCGGGGAACUGCGUCCGAGACUGGCAGGCUUGAAUCCGGGAGAGGGACGUGGAAUUCCAGGUGUAGCGGUGAAAUGCGUAGAUAUCUGGAGGAACACCGGUGGCGAAGGCGGCGUCCUGGACCGGUAUUGACGCUGAGGAGCGAAAGCCAGGGGAGCAAACGGGAUUAGAUACCCGAGUAGUCC
This 292-nucleotide ribosomal RNA is filed under the name uncultured bacterium. RNAcentral's name for it is "partial 16S ribosomal RNA". It matches the Rfam family "Bacterial small subunit ribosomal RNA", at positions 505 to 796 of the family's 1533-position model. The record is from RNAcentral.